RNAcentral lists this non-coding RNA (886 nucleotides) under Leucopsarion petersii. Its description in RNAcentral is "partial 12S ribosomal RNA". It matches the Rfam family "Bacterial small subunit ribosomal RNA", at positions 267 to 1527 of the family's 1533-position model. Lineage: Eukaryota; Metazoa; Chordata; Actinopteri; Gobiiformes; Gobiidae. The record is from RNAcentral.
ACCCCUGUGAGAAUGCCCUACUUCUUCUGACACGAAGAAAAGGAGCAGAUAUUAGGCACAACCCUUCGUUAGCCCAAAACGUCUUGCUUAGCCACACCCCCAAGGGACCUCAGCAGUAAUAAACAUUAAGCAAUAAGUGUAAACUUGACUUAGUUAAAACCAAAAGGGCCGGUAAAACUCGUGCCAGCCACCGCGGUUAUACGAGAGGCCCAAGUUGAUAAACGCCGGCGUAAAACGUGGUUCGUGCACUACGAUACUAAAGCUUAACAUCUUCAACGCUGUUAUACGCAUUCGAAGCCAGGAAGCCCUCCAACGAAAGUAGCUUUACAUGACACUACUCCACGAAAGCUAGGAAACAAACUGGGAUUAGAUACCCCACUAUGCCUAGCCCUAAACACAAGUGAAUAUUUACACCCCUCGCUUGCCAGGGAACUACAAGCCCCAGCUUAAAACCCAAAGGACUUGGCGGUGCUUUAGACCCACCUAGAGGAGCCUGUUCUAGAACCGAUAACCCCCGUUAAACCUCACCCUCUCUUGUUUUUCCCGCCUAUAUACCGCCGUCGUCAGCUUACCCCGUGAGGGCUUAAUAGUGAGCAAAAUUGGCACAGCCUAAAACGUCAGGUCGAGGUGUAGCGUACGAGAGGGGAAGAAAUGGGCUACAUUCACUGCCCCAGUGAAAACGAACAAUGUACUGAAACGGACAUUCAAAGGAGGAUUUAGCAGUAAGGUGGGAACAGAGUGCCCCCCUGAAACUGGCCCUGAAGCGCGCACACACCGCCCGUCACUCUCCCCCAGUAAAUGGAUCUUCAUAUAUAAAAAGCAACCACAACAAAGGGGAGGCAAGUCGUAACAUGGUAAGUGUACCGGAAGGUGCACUUGGAUAAAC